GCCCGGAAUUAUUGCGCGUAAAGGGCGCGUAGGCGGGUAUUUAAGUCUGGUGUGAAAGAUCAGGGCUCAACCCUGAGAGUGCAUCGGAAACUGGGUAUCUUGAGGACAGGAGAGGAAAGUGGAAUUCCACGUGUAGCGGUGAAAUGCGUAGAUAUGUGGAGGAACACCAGUGGCGAAGGCGACUUACUGGACUGUAACUGACGCUGAGUCACGAAAGCGUGGGUAGCAAACAGGAUUAGAUACCCUGGUAGUCCACGCCGUAAACGAUGAGUGCUAAGUGUUAGAGGGUUUCCGCCCUUUAGUGCUGCAGCUAACGCAUUAAGCACUCCGCCUGGGGAGUACGGCCGCAAGGCUGAAACUCAAAGGAAUUGACGGGGGCCCGCACAAGCGGUAGGAGCAUGUGGUUUAAUUCGAAGCAACGCGAAGAACCUUACCAGGUCUUGACAUCCUCUGACACUCCUAGAGAUAGGACGUUCCCCUUCGGGGGACAGAGUGACAGGUGGUGCAUGGUUGUCGUCAACUCGUGUCGUGAGAUGUUGGGUUAAGUACCGCAACGAGCGCAACCCUUGAUCUUAGUUGCCAGCAUUCAAUUGGGCACUCUAAGGUGACUGCCGGUGACAAACCGGAGGAAGGUGGGGAUGACGUCAAAUCAUCAUGCCCCUUAUGACCUGGGCUACACACGUGCUACAAUGGGUGGUACAAAGGGUUGCAAAACCGCGAGGUCGAGCCAAUCCCAUAAAACCACUCUCAGUUCGGAUUGUAGGCUGCAACUCGCCUACAUGAAGUUGGAGUUGCUAGUAAUCGCGAAUCAGAAUGNCCCGGUGAAUACGUUCCCGGGCCUUGUNCACNCCGCCCGUCACACCAUGGGAGUGGGUUGCACCAGAAGUAGCNAGUCUAACCUUCGGGAGGACGGUUACC
Molecule: ribosomal RNA, 918 nt
Filed under: uncultured bacterium
Lineage: Bacteria
Description: bacterial SSU rRNA
Rfam family: Bacterial small subunit ribosomal RNA
Source: RNAcentral